UACGGGAGGCAGCAGUGGGGAAUAUUGCACAAUGGGCGCAAGCCUGAUGCAGCGACGCCGCGUGGGGGAUGACGGCCUUCGGGUUGUAAACCCCUUUCAGCAGGGAAGAAGCGAGAGUGACGGUACCUGCAGAAGAAGCGCCGGCUAACUACGUGCCAGCAGCCGCGGUAAU
This 172-nucleotide ribosomal RNA is filed under the name uncultured Demequina sp. RNAcentral describes it as "partial 16S ribosomal RNA". It matches the Rfam family "Bacterial small subunit ribosomal RNA", at positions 340 to 524 of the family's 1533-position model. The record is from RNAcentral. Lineage: Bacteria; Bacillati; Actinomycetota; Actinomycetes; Micrococcales; Demequinaceae.